CCCACCGCCUUAAUUCACCACUUCUCAUUCACUCGCUCUUGGGAUUUUCCUCCCAACAUUGUAUUUAUAUUUUUGGGGAAUAUUAUGUGUUUAUUAGAGAGGUAGAGGAGAAAAGUGAGAGUAUGAGUGAGGAGUGAGAGCGUUCACUAGUGAGGGAAGGUGAGGCGUCGACGGCUGGUCCCUGCUGACAAUGUCAAAAUUAAGUGGUUGGCGCUAUCAUGUAUUCAUCGGAGGUCUGGUGGGAUUCAUCGGUGCUGCCCUCUACCCUAUCAUUAUCUACCCAAUGAUGAAUAUCGAUGCUUAUAAUAUGAAGGUAUGGACUGACCCAUUUGGAAGAAAAUCUUAAUACUGUAGUCUAUAUUUAACAAGAGUUGAGUGUAUAAAUAGUUCAGUAAUAUUGACGUGCUUGUUCUAUAGAUUAAAUAAACUUGCUGAUAUUUU
Molecule: non-coding RNA, 441 nt
Organism: Procambarus clarkii (red swamp crayfish)
Lineage: Eukaryota; Metazoa; Arthropoda; Malacostraca; Decapoda; Cambaridae
Source: RefSeq, a predicted model, not a curated record